This is a long non-coding RNA of Armigeres subalbatus, 758 nucleotides long. RefSeq lists it as uncharacterized. Lineage: Eukaryota; Metazoa; Arthropoda; Insecta; Diptera; Culicidae. The transcript is spliced from 2 exons. The record is from RefSeq and is a predicted model, not a curated record.
GCCUCUCACUGUCAUCAACUCUCGACUUUCGUCUCUCUCCGCUCUCCUUAAAAAGUGUGCGAGGCGACAAAACAAAAACAAUUCAGCAGAAUAAAUUAUUGUUUCGGUCGUUGUAAAUGUAAAUUUAUGAUUUUGUUCGGUAGUGCUAUAUAGCUGAAUUUUGCAGUGUUUAGUGUUUUUAAUUUUAACACCGAAGUAAACUUCCGAAGCGCCGAUCUUGCGGUAUCGAGAGCCAUAAGUCCAAAUAUGCUCCAACGUGUGCUGUACAUGGUGAUGAUGGGAGUGGAGCCGGAACAGAUGGAUUUGGUUCACGGGAAUUAUUUGAUCGCACCAGGAAUCGCAUGGCGGAAGAUGUUGAUAAAUGACGGAAACAGCACCUUUAAAUGGGUCAAAUCAGGUCGUCCGAUAGUGAUAGUUUUGAUACGGAAUAAAUUUGGUAUUACGUUUCAGACUGUAAAGCCACCUAAGUAAAAGUGAGCGCAGCGGAGUGCUUCGACAGAAAAUACAUCUAAUAAAUGUCAGAACACAUCACUGCGCUCAUCAUUUGUUGCACAGAACAGAAACGGCAGGAUUUUACCGUCGCCGUUCCGUCGUUUGAGAUGGAAAAUCCGGAAUAGUCGGGUCACGACGGAUAUUUUUUUUAGAUUCGAACUGUUUUUCUUUCAUUGUUACCCUUGCUGUUACCCCACAAUGUCGAAUUUAAUACUGUUUGUAUAUUUAUUGCUCAUAUAUUCAAUAAAUAAAUAAAAUUUUGAAAA